This 338-nucleotide long non-coding RNA is filed under the name Phascolarctos cinereus (koala). Its description in RNAcentral is "lncRNA (ENSPCIG00000010044.2)". The record is from RNAcentral. Lineage: Eukaryota; Metazoa; Chordata; Mammalia; Diprotodontia; Phascolarctidae.
UGGGAGAACAAAGAUAGCGUCCAUUGCUCUAAUAAUUGUACCACGCAACAUAACUUGGGACUCCAUUUACCUUGGAAAUUUCUGAUUACACAAGGUGAAUGAUAAGAAGAUACUUAUGUCAGAAGCCCUCACCACUUAACAGAGAAAGCUGAAAACAACAACAAUAACGAACAGAAUCUCAGAAUUGGAAGGACCAUUUGGGGCCAACCCACACCUGAACAGGAGUUUCCAUCUUCCGCAUCACCAACAAAUGACCAUCCAGCCUCGACUUCAAAGGUGAGGAAUAUAAUUAUCUCUGAAGGUUGCCCGUUUCACUUUGGGACUAUUCUAAAUAGUAU